Molecule: long non-coding RNA, 1610 nt
Filed under: Heterocephalus glaber (naked mole-rat)
Lineage: Eukaryota; Metazoa; Chordata; Mammalia; Rodentia; Bathyergidae
Description: lncRNA (ENSHGLG00000035835.1)
Source: RNAcentral
CAGCCCGUCACUCAGCAGUCACUCGGUCACUUGGGGAAAAGCGGGCGCCAAGGGCAGAGUGGGCUGGGUUGCCGCCAGUUGCCCUGUCCCAGUGUCCCCCGCCCCCGACUGUCCCAGCCCACGCCCUGAACCCUCCGGAUGACGCUCGCCCAGCUCUUGGCGGCCAUUGGGACCCCUACUCCACUUCUCUGCACAUCUCGCGAGCCUCGGAUGGCGCCCGAGAGCCCAGGACCGGCCACGCGCGGACCUGCGCCGCCACCUGGUGGCCGCCGGCGCAAACGGCACCCAGGAUGCUCAGAAGAACAUUCGCACGACUGGAGCCAGGGAGAUGCAGAUGCAGCACCAAGUCCCAGAGGGAACACUAUGGGCCAAACGGCAGUGUGCAUGGCAGGAUGGUGUACAUGGCUCAACCCAAGGCCUCUCAGGAAUACGUCAAAAAGCCCCAAGAGAAGUUUACAGCAAUCUGAAGUAAAUGAAAAUGAAAACACAACUUACAAAAUUCAUGGAAUGCCAAGGAAACAGUGCCAAGAGGGAAAUCUGUAGCAUUAGAUGCACACGGUGAGAAACAUUUGACAAAAUCCAAUACCCAUUCGUGAUUAAAACUCAAAACCUGGGAAUGAAGGAGAAUUUCCUUAACUUGAUAAAGAUCAUCAAAAAUGCUCAGCUAACAUCAGACAAUGGGGAGAGACUAGAUAUCUUCCUCCGCAAUCAGGAGCAAGACACUCUUCUCUCCCUACUCCUCCUCAGUAUUGUACUAGAAAUCCAGGCUAACAAAAUAAGACAAGAAGAAUAAAAUAUGUGCAAUUGGGAAGAAAAAAAUAGAAUUGUCUUAUUUGUAGAUGGCGUGACUAUGUAGGAAACCCCAAAGAAUUAACAAUAAAAGUCCUGGAACUAAUCGAGAAUUAUGGCAACAGUCCAGGAUACACGGUUAAUUUAUGAUAGUCACUUGCUUCCUAUUUACUAGGAAUAGACAAGGGUAAAUUAACAUUUAAUACACAAUACCACUUACAUUAGCACCACAAGAAAUGAAAUACUUAGGUAUAAAUCUACAAAUAUGUACAGGAUCUACAUGAGAACAACUACAAACCUCUGAUGAAAUAAAUCAAAGAUAUAAAUAAGUGGAGAGAUAGUCCAUUUUUAUCAGUAGGAACACAAUAUUGUCACAAUAUCAGUUCUCCCCAACUUGAUCUGUAGAUUCAAUACAGUCCCAGUCAAAAUCUAGCAAAUUACUUGUGGAUAUUGACAAACUGAUUCCAAAGUACAUGAGAAAAAUCAAACGCCCAGAAUACCCAGUUGCUGCAGCCGUAGCAACUCUGGCGCUGGCAGAGGACAGACCAACAGGCCAAGAGAACAGGACCAAGAACCCAAAACCAACCCAUGCAAGCACCACCAACUGCCUUUGACAAAGGAGCACAGGUAAUGUCACGGAGGAAGACUGUAUUUUUUUUUUAAUUUAAAUUGUGGUGUAACAAUUGGAUGUCCAUAUGUGAAAAUAUUAAUCUACACAUAAACUUUAUGCCUUUCACGAAAAGUAAUUCAAAAAUUGACCACAGACCUAAAUGUAAAAUGAAAAACUAUAAAUUUCUAUAAGAUAACAUUGGAGAGAUCUA